AUGCUUCAGAUACCUUCGCUGAAGAUGCAUACACUGUUGAUCCGGUACAUGGUUGAGAUUUUUGAUCCUAGCAAGGGCAGAUUCAUUGUACAAGAAUUGGUUGGCGAAGUGUCUCUCGGUGCCGUGGAUGUUGAGUGUAUCUUGUCCUUGGAGAACCACAUACUGUCGAAAGAAGGUAUUCUUAGUGAGGAAGGUGAGGAUGUUAAAGAUUGAGUGUCGCCUCAAAUCCUGAGCAAGACCACAAGUAAUAUAGUCAUCGAUGAUCUGAUUGUGGACACCACAAAAAAUAAAUCUGCCGACGAGGAUUUCCUUCGGAAAGUUGUCCUCGUCUUGCUUGGAACAGUUCUUGCUCCCAUGUCGAGCAAGACUGUCCCAAAGCAAUAUUACGCAUUGGUGGACGAUGUGAAGCGUAUAUCCAAGAUUAAUUGGAAUGCGUUCACCCUCCGGGUUCUGUUGUACUGCCUUCGCAACAUGAGGAAAGGCAAACACCUCCGCCAAUGGCCGAGAGGCAACUUAGCUCUCCUGCAGGUACACCUUUCAGACUUGUACCAUUGCAAAAAUAAAUAUGCUUGCAAAUUCACCUGUUGUAUAGUACUAACUGUAAAUUUUCAUAUUCAUGAUGUACUUAUACUGGGAGAAGGUUCAGCCUCUGGAAGGUGA
RNAcentral lists this ribosomal RNA (660 nucleotides) under Triticum aestivum (bread wheat). Its description in RNAcentral is "partial small subunit ribosomal RNA". The record is from RNAcentral. Lineage: Eukaryota; Viridiplantae; Streptophyta; Magnoliopsida; Poales; Poaceae.